GCACCACAAGAACGCGUGGAGCAUGUGGCUUAAUUUGACUCAACGCGGGAAAUCUUACCGGGUCCGGACACACUGAGGAUUGACAGGCAAUAUCUCAUGGUUAUUAACCGGUUAAUGGUUAUUUAUUUAAUAGCCAGCGGUUAAUUAAGCAUCGAGUGUUAAAUAUGCUAGUCCUUUCAUGAUUAUGUGAUAGGUGGUGCAUGGCCGUUCUUAGUUCGUGGAGUGAUCUGUCUGCUUAAUUGCGUUUCACUAAGGGCCCAUAAAUUCAAGGUAUGUUAGCUAUCGCGCUCUAUGGACCCCUUAUUCACUGCUUUAAUUAGUUUGUUUAAGCGCGCGUCUUUAUUUAAUGAGUUUAAGACACUGCGCAUGCUGUUGGGCUCUGAAAGCAACGAACGUGACCGCAACGUCUUGUUGCCUUAAUAAAGUUGGCUUUAAAUACGAAUUCUAUUCGUAUUUAAAUAGCCGUUACAGAGGCUAUUUAAAACUAGACGGACCGCUGUUUCUUUUCUUAAACCAGAGGAAGGUUGCGG
RNAcentral lists this ribosomal RNA (530 nucleotides) under Neogloboquadrina pachyderma. RNAcentral describes it as "bacterial SSU rRNA". It matches the Rfam family "Eukaryotic small subunit ribosomal RNA", at positions 1164 to 1450 of the family's 1831-position model. The record is from RNAcentral. Lineage: Eukaryota; Foraminifera; Rotaliida; Globorotaliidae.